This 520-nucleotide ribosomal RNA is filed under the name uncultured Acidobacteriota bacterium. Its description in RNAcentral is "bacterial SSU rRNA". It matches the Rfam family "Bacterial small subunit ribosomal RNA", at positions 384 to 896 of the family's 1533-position model. Lineage: Bacteria; Pseudomonadati; Acidobacteriota. The record is from RNAcentral.
UGACGACGCAACGCCGCGUGGAGGAUGAAGGUCUUCGGAUUGUAAACUCCUGUUGCCCGGGACGAAAAGCUCCGACCCAACACGUCGGAGUCUGACGGUACCGGGUGAGGAAGCCCCGGCUAACUCUGUGCCAGCAGCCGCGGUAAUACAGAGGGGGCAAGCGUUGUUCGGAAUUACUGGGCGUAAAGGGCGCGUAGGUGGCCUGUUAAGUCGAACGUGAAAUCCCUGGGCUCAACCCAGGAACUGCGUCCGAGACUGAUAGGCUUGAAUCCGGGAGAGGGAUGUGGAAUUCCAGGUGUAGCGGUGAAAUGCGUAGAUAUCUGGAGGAACACCGGUGGCGAAGGCGGCAUCCUGGACCGGUAUUGACGCUGAGGCGCGAAAGCCAGGGGAGCAAACGGGAUUAGAUACCCCGGUAGUCCUGGCCCUAAACGAUGAAUGCUUGGUGUGGCGGGUAUCGAUCCCUGCCGUGCCGAAGCUAACGCAUUAAGCAUUCCGCCUGGGGAGUACGGUCGCAAGGCUG